CCUACGGGGGGCAGCAGUGAGGAAUAUUGGUCAAUGGACGAGAGUCUGAACUAGCCAAGUAGCGUGAAGGAUGACUGCCCUAUGGGUUGUAAACUUCUUUUAUAUGGGAAUAAAACGUUCCACGUGUGGGAUUUUGUAUGUACCAUAUGAAUAAGGAUCGGCUAACUCCGUGCCAGCAGCCGCGGUAAUACGGAGGAUCCGAGCGUUAUCCGGAUUUAUUGGGUUUAAAGGGAGCGUAGGUGGAUUGUUAAGUCAGUUGUGAAAGUUUGCGGCUCAACCGUAAAAUUGCAGUUGAAACUGGCAGUCUUGAGUACAGUAGAGGUGGGCGGAAUUCGUGGUGUAGCGGUGAAAUGCUUAGAUAUCACGAAGAACUCCGAUUGCGAAGGCAGUUCACUGGACUGCAACUGACACUGAGGCUCGAAAGUGUGGGUAUCAAACAGGAUUAGAUACCCUGGUAGUC
RNAcentral lists this ribosomal RNA (460 nucleotides) under uncultured bacterium. Its description in RNAcentral is "partial 16S ribosomal RNA". It matches the Rfam family "Bacterial small subunit ribosomal RNA", at positions 338 to 795 of the family's 1533-position model. The record is from RNAcentral.